AACUCCUAACAAUAAAAUGUACCUAACCACUCUGAGACAAAUAUGACAUUCAUGCAAUCUGUACCCUUCACAGUCUUUCACACAAUGUCUUGUGCUGCUGCAGGGUUAUUAUCGAUCGAGGCUAAUUUUAGGUGUUUGGUGGGUGGAGUGCUUGCUUGCCUAUAGGGGGCCAAGGCUGGCCGGUUUGUGGCAAAAGUGAGGAUUUCACGCUAGACUUGUAGCCAAUGUCGUGUUACUAAUCUGAGCAGCUUCAAAGGGCCCUGGAAGGAGCCCAGAACCCACCAACCAGUACCUACUCCCUCAAUGAUUCACAUUUUGCUUCUCAGUCUCAGCUCAGAAGUCCCCCUCUCUUUUUGGGCCCCGUCUAAAUGCGACAAAGCCGCAGCGCUGCAACCCAGUCCUCUUGCUGCUCGCGCCCCCUGUCUUACCCUUCCUUUGAACGUGUGGCUCAUCGUUUUGAAGAUGCUCUAAAUAAUCCCUCCCACCAUUUUCACCCCCACCAUUCUUAUUUUCAUUCAUCUGGCAUGUGAAUUGCUGACCCGCCGCUGUCUCCUUCCCCCCGACCCCCUUUUUUUAAAGUUCAAGAACACUCAUUCUAAAAAGAGAACAAAGAGCGAGCAUUACUCCUUUUUGGUGUUUGAGUCGUAUGCGAUCUGACAGCGUCGUUUGAAGUUUCUGCUCCAGACGGAGGCGGCAGAGGGUGUAUGUGGCAAUUAGGUAAAUGCCUUGCAAGCUAACCUCAAGUAAGAGAUUUUGCAUCCACAUGCAUUCAUGUGUCUUUGAGACGUGCACCAGUAGCAGUCUCAACAUGGAGCUGUUCCAGUGAGGUUUUGAAAUGAAAUGACCUCUUUUCUUUCCACAUCUGAUCUGUAAGUGUUUAUGUAGGUGUGUGUGUGUGUGCGUGCGUACGUGCGCAUGCACGCCUGUAAAUAAUAUCUGCAUGUACACAUGAUGCCAUUCACGUUCCACAGAGCAGCGCCAAUCUGUCAUAGCAGAAGAGUGGAUGGGAGUGCAGGCUGUCCUCUUUGUUUGCUCACAGCUAAUUACAUUUCAUCGCUCACUUUUAGUGAUUGGUCCAUCAAAUAACAUUAUGAAGGCAAGAAGGCUGUUUGGGAAGUGUGUGUGUGGGGGGGGGGGGGGGGGGGAGGGAGUGUUUACUUCAACACCGACAGAGUGCACAGGCAAUCCCCAAAUGACAUCAGCUUAAAUGAAUACAUGAAUUACAAUGUAGUCGUCCUUUGUUGAUGUAGACUGGUGCAGCUCACUGACAUCAUAGUCACAGUCUUUACGGAGAGGGAGAUUGAAUCAGAUGAAUACCACAUUUUGCAGGUUCAAGCUCCCGAACCGUUUGCUAAGAGUCACUUGCUUUCUCCCAUCUACUUUGUAUAUUCAUUCUCCCCUUUUUCGAUGUUAUAACAUUUUCCAACAGGGCAAAAAGCCAACACACAUAAUCGACAUGAAAAGAAUCUCGUGACACAACACCCCCCAAAAAAGAUUUAAAAAUAUUCUGCAUAUACCGAAAUAAUGAUUUGCGGUCCCAGUGGAAGAGCAUUUCAAUUUUCUGCCCAUCACUGGCAGAGAUAGACACGGCACAGACACGUUAUUUUUAAUUAAUGAUAAUAAUGGUCAUUUUUGGAUUAUCACAAGACACAACAUAAUUUCACAGUUGAGUGGGACUCGCCGGUGUUGUCUCUCUAUCAGUUACACAGUGGUAUGCCCAUUGAUGAGUUUGGUGGUGUGUGCUGAAAUACAUGAAAGGUGAAGUUAAAGGUCACCUGUCGGUGCGUCCGCUUGUUUGCUGAGUCAAGGAUGGGCGCACGUGGACACGGACGCACAGGGGAAACGGGGUGACACAGUGCUGAGAGGCAUUUACAAAGUAGUCCAGAAAGGAGAGACGAGUGUGUCAACAAGAGAGACCAGCAUGAAGCUGGUGCUGCUUGUGUAAACAGAUGGAAGAAACUGAUAUAUCAGCAGUCCCGCGCGCCUGUUGCUUUCUUGAUGCCUCUAGCACCUAGCCAAAUACGUUUGUGAUUGUAAGCAUACCCUUGUGUUAUGGUGCAGCAUUGAAAGACUUCUCCUAUGUGGGUCCAGUCUUUCUAAACUUGCCCCACAUCAACAACCGAAUUGUGGAAUCCUGAAAAUUUCACAACAGGGAAGUCAUUAUUAGUUAAUCAAAAGAUCAGUUGCCCUUUCCUCAUUUCUCUGCCAUUUGGGUGGCCCAGUUUGUUUUGGUGUGGAGGGACUCGACAAUGCAAGUCUGUGUCAUUUUCACAGCAGGCACAAAAGCCAUUGUUCAGAUCAGGGCCAGAGUGGCACUGAGAGUGGGUCGGUGUCACAAGAUGAAGGACGGCAUUGACACGAGAAACAUGCUUGCUGCAUGCGACCCAAACUAAAUUGGAACAAAACAUGAAGACUUUCUGUCCUUUCAUACAGAUUGUGAAAUGUAACACUCAAAAAUGGUGGCAGGAGCUGGCCCACUGAAACAAAGAUGUGUCGACUUAAUUUCACCACUAAGAGAUACGCUUUUUGGUCAUUUUUGCAAAAAGACUUAACAGAACAUU
Long non-coding RNA from Hippocampus zosterae (dwarf seahorse), 2561 nucleotides. RefSeq lists it as uncharacterized. The record is from RefSeq and is a predicted model, not a curated record. NCBI's taxonomy places the organism in Eukaryota, Metazoa, Chordata, Actinopteri, Syngnathiformes, Syngnathidae. The transcript is spliced from 2 exons.